RNAcentral lists this ribosomal RNA (480 nucleotides) under uncultured bacterium. RNAcentral describes it as "bacterial SSU rRNA". It matches the Rfam family "Bacterial small subunit ribosomal RNA", at positions 50 to 518 of the family's 1533-position model. The record is from RNAcentral.
AACACAUGCAAGUCGAGGGGCAGCAUGAUCGAAGCUUGCUUGAUGAUGGCGACCGGCGCACGGGUGAGUAACGCGUAUCCAACCUUCCCUGUAGUAGAGAACUAGCCCGGCGAAAGUCGGAUUAAUGCUCUAUGUUGUAUUUCGAUGACAUCUGAAGAAUACCAAAGGUUUACCGCGUAUAGGAUGGGGAUGCGUCUGAUUAGGUUGUUGGCGGGGUAACGGCCCACCAAGCCUACGAUCAGUAGGGGUUCUGAGAGGAAGGUCCCCCACAUUGGAACUGAGACACGGUCCAAACUCCUACGGGAGGCAGCAGUGAGGAAUAUUGGUCAAUGGACGGAAGUCUGAACCAGCCAAGUAAGCGUGCAGGAUGACGGCCCUAUGGGUUGUAAACUGCUUUUAUAUAGGGAUAAAGUCGGGGACGUGUCCCCGUUUGUAGGUACUAUAUGAAUAAGGACCGGCUAAUUCCGUGCCAGCCGCGGC